ACAGCGCACUGGAUAGCGCGUUGGAAUUCUACUCUAAAGGUCGUGCGUUCGAAUCCCACCUGAAAUG
This is a non-coding RNA of Trichonephila clavata, 67 nucleotides long. The record is from the annotation of a GenBank genome assembly. Lineage: Eukaryota; Metazoa; Arthropoda; Arachnida; Araneae; Nephilidae.